UACGGAGGGUGCGAGCGUUGUCCGGAAUCACUGGGCGUAAAGGGCGCGUAGGCGGCCUGAUAAGUAGGGGGUGAAAUCCUGCGGCUUAACCGCAGGGCUGCCUUCUAAACUGUCAGGCUUGAGCACAGUAGAGGCAGGUGGAAUUCCCGGUGUAGCGGUGGAAUGCGUAGAGAUCGGGAAGAACAUCAGUGGCGGAGGCGGCCUGCUGGGCUGUUGCUGACGCUGAGGCGCGACAGCGUGGGGAGCAAACAGG
This 253-nucleotide ribosomal RNA is filed under the name uncultured bacterium. RNAcentral's name for it is "partial 16S ribosomal RNA". It matches the Rfam family "Bacterial small subunit ribosomal RNA", at positions 524 to 776 of the family's 1533-position model. The record is from RNAcentral.